UAUUCAGAAAGGUGCCAGUCA
Molecule: microRNA, 21 nt
Filed under: Homo sapiens (human)
Lineage: Eukaryota; Metazoa; Chordata; Mammalia; Primates; Hominidae
Description: hsa-miR-892c-5p
Gene: hsa-miR-892c-5p
Source: miRBase by way of RNAcentral